This is an RNA transcript of Patiria miniata (bat star), 1656 nucleotides long. RefSeq lists it as uncharacterized. Lineage: Eukaryota; Metazoa; Echinodermata; Asteroidea; Valvatida; Asterinidae. The transcript is spliced from 6 exons. The record is from RefSeq and is a predicted model, not a curated record.
UUGCAGGCUAAAGCAGUCUUUUUUCUAGUUUUGAAAGCACUUUCAAAAAAAUGUGACUUUCCUACCUUUUUUCACAGUCAGACAUGCAUGUUGUAGUUCCAACACGCGUGAAAGCCCUACAUAAUGAAAGCCCGAUGCUGAUUGGCUGCUAAAAAAAAUAAUUAAGAUGUUUAUUUUUUGUCAGCCAAUCAGCAUCAAGCUUUCAUUGCAUCAAGCUUUCACGUUUGCCAUCUUGGUUUUUGAGUCUGUUUUCUGGUUGUCAUCGUCAUCUUUUACCCCUCAAUUUCCCUCUAAAAUCAAAGCCCUGCCCUCUUUCCACAAACUUAAACCAGGAAAAGUUCCGUACUCGGAGGUCAAUUUAUCUGCUGCGCCAAACAUAUUAAGUGUCAUUUAGUCAGCUGUUUUGGCGCAUCCAUCAGUGCGGAUGAAAGGCGCCGAGGCAGACUGGACACCCAUACAAUGCACAGACAGGGAGUGUAGCCACUCCUUGAUGAAGGCUCCGCAUCUGCACUGUCCAUUCUGCUCCCAGGACAGUCUCUUCACUGAUGAGAUUCUCCUCAAGGCGCACUACAGGGUCAAGCACGUGGAUAAAGGCAUCAACUUUGGGGGUCGUGCUACAAGAUGACUUUUAAGGUCCAUGUGAGUUGAAUGCAACACUUGUCUAAGUGACAAGCCAGCCGAGUGCAGCAAGAUCCAUCAGGUCAAAAGUCUGAAGGCCAAAUUGCCUCUGAGUCUGUGGUCCUCGAACGCAGCAGGAUACAACUGAGGCAUUGUUCAAUGGGAUUAGCUCUCAUUGUUUCAGAACUGGCUGUUAAUGCACUGACAGUGUUGAUAGCUGAAAUGCAGCAAAGUGCACCAGACUUUUCCACCUGAUGCACUGUGCUGCAUGUGGCAGAGGGUUAAUUAAGAUAAGUUGAAGGCAGUGGACAGCAGGACAAGAUAGUGGCAUUUGUGGAAGUUUUAUGAAAGUGACAGAUACCUGGGCUGGUUAUUCUUUAAUAGCAGAUACCAGUGUUUGAUAGACUCAAUUGUCACAGGCCAUGCCCAAGAGCAGAAAUACUUCAAGGGUGCCCACUCGCACUGCUACCAUUGUCACAACGGGUUCAGCAGGAGGGACAAGGCUAUGAAGCACUACCAGCAACACUUCCGUAAUCCAGAGACCACAAUACAGAUAGUUAUUACUCGGUAUGUCAACUAGAUCUUCACUACAUACACUGACCCAGCACCCAACAGUGCCAGCCUGGUAACACACCUCAUAGUCCCCCAGUCACAGCAGCCAUCGGAGACGGACACAUCAUCCCCGGGGCUAUGAGCAGACUGACGGGCAGCAGCCGCAAAUCGAGUACCAGUAUGCCUGCAUCAAUGAUCCGAGCCAGAGCACUGCCAAUGGGGAAGUUGUCCUUAUUGAAAUACCAGACGAAGGAAGCAAAGAGGAUUUGGAGGACGAGACUUGCUACACAGAGCACAACUUGUCGCUGCUGCUGCAGGAGAAGGAAAGUCUGGAGAAGACUCUUGAGGAGGAGCAGACCACGUUGGCCCAGACAGAGCACAGGAUGAAAGGCACUAUAGAAAGGCUUCGUACAAAGGUUGAGUAUUUGUCCAACACAAACACGUCACUCAAGCAGCAGCUGUCCAUGAUUCACACGUCCAGUUUGA